Molecule: long non-coding RNA, 161 nt
Filed under: Mustela putorius furo (domestic ferret)
Lineage: Eukaryota; Metazoa; Chordata; Mammalia; Carnivora; Mustelidae
Description: lncRNA (ENSMPUG00000030421.1)
Source: RNAcentral
CUCAAUACUCUCAAAAUCCAUUCCUAAACAUGCUCCCUUGGUUCUACAAAGUACAUACUAGCCAUGCCCUGCAAUUAUUGAUUCCAAGGCAGACAUCCAGCCAACUCCAUCAUCUUUAGAAUUAACCUUGCCCCCCACCACUCAAGUGCCAGGCCUCUGAC